This 497-nucleotide ribosomal RNA is filed under the name uncultured bacterium. RNAcentral describes it as "partial 16S ribosomal RNA". It matches the Rfam family "Bacterial small subunit ribosomal RNA", at positions 28 to 507 of the family's 1533-position model. The record is from RNAcentral.
GACGAACGCUGGCGGCGUGCCUAAUACAUGCAAGUAGAACGCUGAAGAGAGGAGCUUACUCUUCUUGGAUGAGUUGCGAACGGGUGAGUAACGCGUAGGUAACCUGCCUUGUAGCGGGGGAUAACUAUGGGAAACGAUAGCUAAUACCGCAUAACAAUGGUGGACACAUGUCAUUUAUUUGAAAGGGGCAAUUGCUCCACUACAAGAGGGACCUGCGUUGUAUUAGCUAGUAGGUGAGGUAAUGGCUCACCUAGGCGACGAUACAUAGCCGACCUGAGAGGGUGAUCGGCCACACUGGGACUGAGACACGGCCCAGACUCCUACGGGAGGCAGCAGUAGGGAAUCUUCGGCAAUGGGGGCAACCCUGACCGAGCAACGCCGCGUGAGUGAAGAAGGUUUUCGGAUCGUAAAGCUCUGUUGUAAGUCAAGAACGGGUGUGAGAGUGGAAAGUUCACACUGUGACGGUAGCUUACCAGAAAGGGACGGCUAACUACGUG